This 64-nucleotide transfer RNA is filed under the name Iwatanemertes piperata. RNAcentral describes it as "tRNA-Cys". Lineage: Eukaryota; Metazoa; Nemertea; Pilidiophora; Heteronemertea; Lineidae. The record is from RNAcentral.
GGCUUUAUAGUUGAAAUAACAAUAUCAAAUUGCAGCUUUGAGGGUAUAAAAUUUAUUAAGGCUU